GAUGAACGCUGGCGGCGUGCCUAACACAUGCAAGUCGAGCGAGUAAUUCAGGAGUAAAGCUUCGGUUGAGCGAAUGAAUGGAAAGCGGCGGACGGGUGAGUAACGCGUAGGCAACCUGCCCCUGACAGAGGGAUAGCCUCGGGAAACUGGGAUUAAAACCUCAUAAAGCGAGAGGUUCACAUGAACUUUUCGCCAAAGAUUUAUCGGUCAGGGGUGGGCCUGCGUCUGAUUAGCUAGUUGGUGGGGUAACGGCUCACCAAGGCAACGAUCAGUAGCCGACCUGAGAGGGUAAUCGGCCACAUUGGAACUGAGACACGGUCCAACCUCCUACGGGAGGCAGCAGUGGGGAAUAUUGCACAAUGGGCGAAAGCCUGAUGCAGCAACGCCGCGUGAGUGAGGAAGGCUUUCGGGUCGUAAAACUCUGUCCUUGGGGAAGAAAAAGGUGACGGUACCCUUGGAGGAAGCCCCGGCUAACUACGUGCCAGCCGCCGCAGUAACAC
Molecule: ribosomal RNA, 500 nt
Filed under: uncultured bacterium
Lineage: Bacteria
Description: bacterial SSU rRNA
Rfam family: Bacterial small subunit ribosomal RNA
Source: RNAcentral